GGGGCAGUAGCUCAGUUCGGGAGAGCGGUACGUUCGCAACGUACAGGUCGGCGGUUCGAUCCCGCUCUGCUCCACCA
This 77-nucleotide transfer RNA is filed under the name Candidatus Zixiibacteriota bacterium. Its description in RNAcentral is "candidate division Zixibacteria bacterium tRNA-Ala". It matches the Rfam family "tRNA". Rfam says of the family: Transfer RNA (tRNA) molecules are approximately 80 nucleotides in length. Their secondary structure includes four short double-helical elements and three loops (D, anti-codon, and T loops). Lineage: Bacteria; Pseudomonadati; Candidatus Zixiibacteriota. The record is from RNAcentral.